RNAcentral lists this ribosomal RNA (374 nucleotides) under uncultured organism. RNAcentral describes it as "partial 16S ribosomal RNA". It matches the Rfam family "Bacterial small subunit ribosomal RNA", at positions 527 to 896 of the family's 1533-position model. The record is from RNAcentral.
GUAGGUGGCAAGCGUUGUCCGGAAUUAUUGGGCGUAAAGCGCGCGCGGGCGGUUCGUUUAAGUCUGAUGUGAAAGCCCACGGGCUCAACCGUGGAGGGUCAUUGGAAACUGGAGAACUUGAGUACAGAAGAGGAAAGCGGAAUUCCACGUGUAGCGGUGAAAUGCGUAGAGAUGUGGAGGAACACCAGUGGCGAAGGCGGCUUUCUGGUCUGUAACUGACGCUGAGGCGCGAAAGCGUGGGGAGCAAACAGGAUUAGAUACCCUGGUAGUCCACGCCGUAAACGAUGAGUGCUAAGUGUUAGGGGGUUUCCGCCCCUUAGUGCUGCAGCUAACGCAUUAAGCACUCCGCCUGGGGAGUACGGCCGCAAAGGCUG